This 315-nucleotide ribosomal RNA is filed under the name uncultured eukaryote. RNAcentral describes it as "partial 18S ribosomal RNA". It matches the Rfam family "Eukaryotic small subunit ribosomal RNA", at positions 1470 to 1796 of the family's 1831-position model. The record is from RNAcentral.
CCCUUAGACGUUCUGGGCCGCACGCGCGCUACACUGACCAGUGCAACAAGCAUCCGUCCUUGGCCGACAGGCCCGGGUAAUCUUUGAACGCCGGUCGUGAUGGGGAUAGAUCCUUGCAAUUUUUGAUCUUCAACGAGGAAUUCCUAGUAAAUGCGAGUCAUCAUCUCGCGUUGAUUACGUCCCUGCCCUUUGUACACACCGCCCGUCGCACCUACCGAUUGAAUGGUCCGGUGAAGCCUCGGGAUUGCGAAUGCUUCGUGCGGACGCGAGAACUUGGCUAAACCUUACCAUUUAGAGGAAGGUGAAGUCGUAACA